RNAcentral lists this transfer RNA (122 nucleotides) under Candidatus Freyarchaeota archaeon. RNAcentral's name for it is "tRNA-Gly". Lineage: Archaea; Promethearchaeati; Candidatus Freyarchaeota. The record is from RNAcentral.
GCGGCCGUAGUCUAGUCUGGACGCCAGUUCUAGGCUGGAAUAGGAUCCAGGCCCUCCAAGCCUGAGACCCGGGUUCGAAGCCAGCGAGGUUUGAGCUGGCGAACAUCCCGGCGGCCGCACCA